UGUUAGUGUAUAAGCUAUUGAGCUUACAUGAAUAUUAGAAGUAAAUAAGUCUUGUGUCUAAUUGUGUAUUCACUUUGGUAAUUAAACCAAGUGUAGAGGUCAUAUUGUAAAAAGGGUUUUGUAACAGGUGUGAAGAUCUCCUUGUGUCCAUCUAGAUGUGUGGCAGAGAUCAUUCUCUUUUUAUUAUGCUUUGUAACCCAACCGUUGUGCACAGUGUGUGCGUGUGAAGCAAUAUAUGCAGUUUUACUCUGUGUGCAAGUUUCAACAGAGAGCACCACCAUCAUAAUCUUCUCUCCAUUGUAUUUGAGUUUUUGAGCUUAUCCUUAUUCCUACUUCUCAUCCAACUAAAAACACUUCAAUUAGAACUUUAACAUGGCCUCAGAGCCUGGUUCGAUCAUUUGAGAUCUGGGCGUAAAAAUCAAUCGAGCUACACUUGAGCUCGUUUCAGAUUGAGCGACAUUGCCGGAAUUCCAUAAAACUCGAUUUCGAUUUGUAUUCGCAUCAUCAAAGCUCGAAGAUGGCUGGAUCUGGAAGUUCUGAGGUGAGAACUCCGAUCUUCUCCGAUGAGAACUACGAGUUCUGGAGAAUCAAGAUGGUGACGAUCUUCAAAUCUCAUGGGUUAUGGAAAUUAGUUGAAAAAGGGAUUACGAUCUCAGAAACAAAGAAGAAGAAGAAGGCUGAAGGAAGCUCAGAAGAAGAAGAAGACGAUGAGAAAAUGGUCGCAGCAUAUAUGCAGGAUGCAAAAGCUCUGGGUAUUAUCCAGAACGCAGUCUCAGAUCAGAUAUUCCCUAGAAUAGCCAAUGCAGAUUCUGCGAAGAUGGCAUGGGAUCUGCUAUAUGGUGAGUACCAUGGUGGUGAUCAGGUAAGAUCUGUGAAACUACAAAAUCUGAGACGUGAAUUUGAGUAUGCUAGGAUGCGUGAUGAUGAAACUCUGUCUGGGUAUCUUACUAGGCUAAAUGAAUUGAUCAAUCAGAUGAAAACAUUUGGUGAGAUUCUGUCUAAUGAAAGGCUUGUACAAAAAGUUCUCAUUAGUCUCAAUAAACCAUAUGAUCCCAUAUGUCUAGUUAUUGAAAAUACCAAGUGCUUAGAAACUGUAGAACUGCAGGAGGUUGUAGCAAUUUUGAAGAGUCAAGAACAACGAUUUGAUUUGCAUAGUGUUGAUGUCACUGAAAAUGCUUUUGCCUCAUUCUCUGUGAGUCCAAAAGGACAAACCAGUGGAAAUGCUCAAUCUGGUACAUUCAAAUCCUAUAAGCACUUGAAUUCGAAGGGAAAGAAAUGGGAAUCUAAGCCUAAGUUUCAACAGAGGUCAUUCACUAAUCCUACACAGAACUCAAACUCUUCUGGGUAUGUGAAGCAAGAUGCAGUUAAACCACAGUGUAGAGUGUGUUCCAAAUUCCAUUUUGGUGAAUGUAGAUAUAAGGGGAAACCUAAGUGUUAUAAUUGUGAUAAAUUUGGUCAUUGGGCUAGAGAAUGCACUGUAGGGAAGACUGUGCAAAAGGCAAACUCUGCAAAUCAGGUGGAAGUGACAGGGAAUUUGUUCUAUGCUAAUAGUGCGAUCUCAGAGUCAAAUGUCAAUGGAAACUGGUAUAUUGAUAGUGGUUGUAGUAACCACAUGACAGGAGAUGCUAAUCUGCUUGUUGACAUAAAAAACAAAUGUUGCUGGAAAAGUGCAAAUGCCUACUGGUGUGUUAGUGAAUGUUGCUGGAAUGGGUUCAUUGGAAAUAGACACUAAUAGAGGCAAGAAGUAUAUCAGGGAGGUUAUGCAUCUGCCAGGAUUAAAGGAAAACUUACUGAGCGUUGGGCAAAUGGAUGAGCAUGGAUACUAUCUCUUGUUUGGAGGAGGCUUGUGUAGUGUAUUUGAUGGACCUACUCUUGAUAAUCUUGUGAUCAAAGUUAAGAAGAAGGAAAACAGAUGUUAUCCCCUUUCUCUGUGGAAAAACAGCCAACUUGUUCUGAAAGCUAGCACCGAUUCAAAUUCUACCUGGAUUUGGCACAAGAGAUUAGGACAUCUAAAUCUCAGAAGCCUUAAACAACUCAGAGAAAAUGAAAUGGUACAUGGUCUUCCACAGCUUGAAAACAUUGAUGGUGUAUGUGAAGGAUGCCAGUUUGGGAAACAACAUCGUGAUUGGUUUCCAAAAAGAGAAAGCUUGGAGAGCAAGCAGUCCUCUAGAGCUUAUACACACUGAUUUGUGUGGUCCUAUGCAAAAUGAAUCAAUUGCUGGGAAUAAGUACUUUAUGCUUCUCAUUGAUGACUAUACAAGAAUGUCAUGGGUUUACUUCCUAAGACAAAAAUCUGAGGCUCUAACUUGUUUCAAGAAGUUUAGAGCCAUGGUAGAAUUACAGAGUGGUUUCAAAGUAAAGUGCCUAAGAAGUGACAGAGGAGGUGAGUUUGUAUCAAAUGAAUUCAACCAAUUCUUAGAGGCUGAAGGAAUACAAAGACAACUGUCUAUGGCCUAUACUCCACAGCAAAAUGGAGUAGUGGAGAGGAAGAAUAGAACAGUUGUAGAGAUGGCCAAGACAAUGCUUCAUGAUAAAAGCAUGCCAUAUUUUCUGUGGGCUGAGGCAGUGCAUACAGCAGUGUACAUUCUAAACAGAUCACCUACAAAAGCACUGGAUAAUCUGACACCAUUUGAGGCAUACAGUGGCAGAAAACCAGGAAUUGGUCACCUAAAAGUAUUUGGAUCAAUCUGCUAUGUGCAUAUACCAUCUGAAAUGAGACAGAAACUAGAUGCUAAGAGUGUCAAAUGUGUGUUUGUUGGAUAUGCUACAUGUGAGAAGGGAUACAGAGUGUUUGAUCCAUGCACUAAGAAGUUAAUUCUUUCAAGAGAUGUAGUUUUUGAUGAAACUAUGACCUGGAAUUGGAAGGAACAUUCAGAGAACUCUGUUGCUGUGACCCACAUUCAGAAUUCACAUGGGUUGGGUGAGAUUCAAGAUUGUGCCUCCAGUUCCUCUACAUUCUCUCAUACUGAAGAACAAGAAAGCAGCAUUCAAGAAUCUGUUUGAGAUUUCCUCAGUCUUAUGAUCAUACUCCAGUGAAAUGGAGAAGCAUAAAUGAUAUUAUGGCACAGUGCAAUUUGUGUAUUGUGGAACCUGAAAAAUUCGAAGAAGCUGCUCAAGAUCAAGCUUGGAUAAACGCUAUGGAAGAAAGAACUGACCAUGAUUGAGAAGAAUAGAACUUGGGAAUUGGUGGAUAGACCAAGUGAUAAACAUGUUAUUGGGGUGAAAUGGGUAUUCAAAACCAAGUUGAACUUGGAUGGAUCAGUACAAAAGAACAAGGCACGACUAGUUGCCAAGGGGUAUGUGCAGAAACCAGGAAUUGAUUACAAUGAGACCUUUGCUCCGGUUGCUAGACUAGAUACAAUUCGGACUUUGAUAGCUCUUGCUGCACAGAGAAGCUGGAAAUUAUAUCAACUUGAUGUUAAAUCUGCAUUUCUGAAUGGACAACUGCAGGAAGAAGUCUAUGUUGAACAACCCGAAGGAUUUGUGAUUAAUGGUAAAGAAGAUAAAGUCUACAGAUUGUAUAAGGCUCUGUAUGGAUUGAAGCAGGCACCUAGAGCCUGGUAUGGAGAGAAUUGAUAGUUAUUUCACUCAGUGUGGAUUCAUAAAGAGCUUGAGUGAAGCAACUAUUUAUACUAAGACAAGGGGAGAUAAGGAUAUCCUAAUUGUCUCUAUCUAUGUUGAUGACAUAGUAUACACUGGAAAUAACCAGGAGAUGCUGGAUGAGUUCAAAGAAGACAUGAAAGAUAAAUAUGAGAUGACAGAUCUCGGGGUACUUCAUCAUUUCUUGGGGAUGGGGGUUAUACAAACAGAUACUAGCAUUUUUAUCCAUCAAAGGAAGUAUGCUUCUUCCUUAUUGGAUAAAUUUGGUCUAAAGGAGUGUAAACCUGUCUCCAUACCUCUCAUUACUUCUGAGAAAUUAAGUAAAAGAUGAUGGAAGUGGUGCAGCAAAAUGAGGAGCAGUACAGGAAGAUUGUAGGAAGUCUGUUGUACCUCACUGCCCACAAGGCCGGAUAUAAUGUAUGCAGCUAGUUUAUUAGCUAGAUAUAUGCAUUGUCCUACCAAUAAACACUAUGGAACAGCUAAGAGAGUGCUCAGAUAUGUUAGGGGCACAUUGGACUAUGGUUUGAAGUAUGAGAAAGGCAAGAAGGCAGUCUUAAUUGGUUUUUGCGAUAGUGACUGGGGAGGAUCUCUUGAAGACAGCAAAAGCACCUCAGGCUAUGCAUUUUUCUUUUGGAAGUGGAGUGUUCUCAUGGGCCUCUGUGAAACAACACUGUGUUGCUCUUUCUACUGCAGAAGCCGAGUAUAUCAGUGCUUCUGAAGCCACAGCUCAGGCCAUAUGGCUCAGAUUUGUUCUGGAAGAUUUUGGAGAGUUACAAGUUGAUGCAACCCCUCUGCAGUGUGAUAACACAUCUGCAAUCUCAAUAUCCAAGAACCCUGUGUUUCACCAGAAGACAAAACACAUUGAUAGGAGAUAUCACUUCAUCAAGGAUGCCUUGCAGCAAGGGAUAAUUGACUUGGUUUACUGUCCUACCAAAGAACAAGUGGCAGACAUUUUCACCAAGGCAUUACCAAAGGACAGAUUCAACUAUCUCAGGGACAAACUUGGAGUUAUAUCAGCUCAAAGCUUAAAGGGGAGUGUUAGUGUAUAAGCUAUUGAGCUUACAUGAAUAUUAGAAGUAAAUAAGUCUUAUGUCUAAUUGUGUAUUCACUUUGGUAAUUAAACCAAGUGUAGAGGUCAUAUUGUAAAAAGGGUUUUGUAACAGGUGUGAAGAUCUCCUUGUGUCCAUCUAGAUGUGUGGCAGAGAUCAUUCUCUUUUUAUUAUGCUUUGUAACCCAACCGUUGUGCACAGUGUGUGCGUGUGAAGCAAUAUAUGCAGUUUUACUCUGUGUGCAAGUUUCAACAGAGAGCACCACCAUCAUAAUCUUCUCUCCAUUGUAUUUGAGUUUUUGAGCUUAUCCUUAUUCCUACUUCUCAUCCAACUAAAAACACUUCAAUUAGAACUUUAACAUAUAUUGGCAGACAAUGAACGGCAUAGUCCAAAUCCUCUAGUAAUAAAUUGGUUACGAUAUUGUAUUGACAAGUAAAUAUUAUAACGUUUUGACAAGUUGAAAAUUUUAAAAUUAAUCUAACUUGGUAAUUGAUCAUA
This 5147-nucleotide long non-coding RNA is filed under the name Malus domestica (apple). RNAcentral's name for it is "long non-coding RNA (MDOM_LNC008826)". Lineage: Eukaryota; Viridiplantae; Streptophyta; Magnoliopsida; Rosales; Rosaceae. The record is from RNAcentral.